RNAcentral lists this ribosomal RNA (458 nucleotides) under uncultured Diaphorobacter sp. Its description in RNAcentral is "bacterial SSU rRNA". It matches the Rfam family "Bacterial small subunit ribosomal RNA", at positions 919 to 1382 of the family's 1533-position model. The record is from RNAcentral. Lineage: Bacteria; Pseudomonadati; Pseudomonadota; Betaproteobacteria; Burkholderiales; Comamonadaceae.
ACCCGCACAAGCGGUGGAUGAUGUGGAUUAAUUCGAUGCAACGCGAAAACCUUACCCACCUUUGACAUGGCAGGAAGUAUUUAGAGAUAGAUAUGUGCCCGAAAGGGAACCUGCACACAGGUGCUGCAUGGCUGUCGUCAGCUCGUGUCGUGAGAUGUUGGGUUAAGUCCCGCAACGAGCGCAACCCUUGCCAUUAGUUGCUACGAAAGGGCACUCUAAUGGGACUGCCGGUGACAAACCGGAGGAAGGUGGGGAUGACGUCAAGUCCUCAUGGCCCUUAUAGGUGGGGCUACACACGUCAUACAAUGGCUGGUACAGAGGGUUGCCAACCCGCGAGGGGGAGCUAAUCCCAUAAAGCCAGUCGUAGUCCGGAUCGCAGUCUGCAACUCGACUGCGUGAAGUCGGAAUCGCUAGUAAUCGCGGAUCAGAAUGUCGCGGUGAAUACGUUCCCGGGUCUU